CUCCUGGUCAGGAUUCUGCAAUGGCCUCAUUGCUUUUGGCUCUACAUUUUAUAUGCAUCCUUUCCAUAAAACUAUUGCAAUGCAAAUGAGUAAUUGCAUUUAAUAUUUUGCCAUAAGUCAUGUAAUGUCUGCAAAACCACCUUCAAAAUGGAUUUCUUAUUUUGAGCAGUUUGUUUUGCUUAUGAACCCUUUCUGAGUGUGCAAAAACAUCUUCAAAUUUACUAAACAAAUACUGCUUCGAUUAUUUAUUGUAAGCUUACCCAUAGCUCUAUGUUUGUCAAACUGUUUCCGCAAGUAUUUUUGUGGCUAACUAUGCUAGUAAGAUUGACGAGUUUUGUAUAGGAUUUCAAUUAAUUCAUGCACUAUGCAGUUGUUGUUGAUGAAGUAUUUUGUGUUUAAACUCCAUCAAUUAUUGCCUUUUGAAGGAUCAUGUAUGUUAAUACCACUUGACAUAUGCCUGACCACAGUACUGUUCAUGGAUGUAUUGCUUUUUCAGAUUUACUGAUCUCAGUUCUAAAAAUGCAGGGAUUGGAGAGUAUAUCUUCAGGACAAACACGGGAUGUCAACUGAAGGCAUGAAUCUAAUGAUUGAUAGGUUUGUUGUGCUUAAUUGAAUCUGAACUUGCAUUGACUUUAGAGGUUUUGGAUCAAAUGACAAGGCACAGGCACUUUGGAAAUGUGUGGUUCUGUGGGUCUUAUAGGGAAGAGAAGAUGAUAUUGAAAGAAUGUGGGAAAAUAUGUUUUUUGGUUUCUUUUGGGUGCCAAUAGCUCCUCCUUUUAAAGGGUUCUCUCUCUCUCUCUCUCUCUCUCUCGCUCUCUCUCAUAGGGGUUGGAGAGCCAUUUGUAGAAUGGGCAUCGGCAAGUCUGCUCGGCAAGGGAGAAUCGAUGCCUACGCUGCCGUGCACACAUGAUCACCACCAAUUCAAAACCCAGUAGAGCACUAUCCAGUGCCACUGCCUUAUUGACUGUCCACCGUCACUCAACCAUAUCAACCAUCCCCUGUUGCCCCGCCAUGGAUGAGGUCCUCACCCCUUCGCUACCACACUACCGUCAGCCAUCAUCGUUGUUGCAAUAUCAGAGUUUCUGCAAACUGUGGGAGAUAUGUGUGCAAGGCAUGGGCAAAAAUUAUAUCUAACUCUUCUUUUAUCAAAGCACACCUUUAAUCAAAGGGUGGUUUGUUCAUCCAGAAGUUUGGUAUGCCAUAUAAUUCUGGUUGCCUUGAGCUUAAUGAGGUAGACUUCAAAAUGAAACACCUAGAUUUUCUGGACAAAUGGUCUCUAGUUGUGGGGGUUUAUCACUGUUCUGUAGCUCACACCCUAAAAGAUUUAUUUAUGUUGGGAAUCAUGUGACAAUGCAAUAUAAAAGCUUUCCUUUUGCAAUUGUGGAGAAGGAGCUUUUCCCCUCUUGUCAUAUUGCUUUUAUUUCUUGCACUGGGGAGUACAAAGGUGUUGUGGCAUUGUGAAAGCUUGAGUGGAGAACAUAGAUGGUUUGUAUUGUCCGUGGGUAAUAACAUGUCAUGGAGAAAACUUGAGACUUCGCUAAAAGGAAAUGAUCUUGAUCCUGGGAUUGUAACUUCAGUCUCUGUUGGAGGGGUUAUUUAUUGAUCCCAAAGGAGCUUAAAUAUUUUUGCUAUUGACCUUAUGAUGAAACUUCUCACUCCAUUCAAGUUCCAACUGGAUUUGUUGGGAGUUUUUAUUAGCUCCUUGAGCUGAGGAAUAGUUUAUCUUGUGUUGUGAACCAUCUGGAAGAGGUUUAUGUAAGCAUAUUGAAGGACUUUAUGUCGCAAUGAAUGGGUUAAACUUUACAAGUUCAAAGAAGUAAUAGAUGGACAAAUUUUUGUAUGAUGGUUCCGCACCUGUUGGUUGGUUGGAUCAUGGCCAAUCCUUGGUCUUCAUUAUUGAGAAGACUGGUCUUCAAAGUAAAAAGUUGGUUGUUGUUUACAAUGUGAAAAUAGGAGAGGCUAGACCUUUCAUUGAUAUCGGCUUUGAUUGGCUACAGAAACACACCAAUAGCCUUGUUUCACAGUAAAUAUGCGUUCAAAACUAUUCUUUGAUUAUUGGCUAUAAAAUCUUUUUGCCCUGUACUUAUUAAUUCUAUGAGUCGAGAAUUCUAUUAAGAGUUUAUUUUCUUGUAUCUAUGUGGUAUUCUACUAGGUGUAGUGUAGAAUGGGCAAGUGGAUGCAUUUUUAUUACAUAUUUUUUUUUUAUUAUUUCAUAAUUAUGUAAAGCGUAUUUUAGGAAGACGGGAUGGAUAAGUAUGACAAUUUGUUGCCUAAUCCAAGUGGUGUCAUUAUUAUUAUUAUUGUUUGAUAACCAAGAUCCAAUCCUAGUUAGGGCCCUUUGGAUUUGCAAACUCAUGAUACAUGCGACCACUCGCUAGUUUCGACACUAUC
Camellia sinensis is the source of this 2391-nucleotide non-coding RNA. The record is from RefSeq and is a predicted model, not a curated record. Lineage: Eukaryota; Viridiplantae; Streptophyta; Magnoliopsida; Ericales; Theaceae.